This 663-nucleotide ribosomal RNA is filed under the name Prorocentrum cassubicum. Its description in RNAcentral is "eukaryotic LSU rRNA". It matches the Rfam family "Eukaryotic large subunit ribosomal RNA", at positions 56 to 664 of the family's 3401-position model. Lineage: Eukaryota; Dinophyceae; Prorocentrales; Prorocentraceae. The record is from RNAcentral.
UCUGUUACUAAAGAGGAUUGCCUCUAGUACGGCGAGUGAGAGGGAAUAGUUCAGCAUGGCAUAUAAGGGACCCUCGGUCUUGAAUUGUAGUCUCGAGAUGCANUACCAACAGAGGCGCAGGUGUAAGCCUUCUGGAAAGGAGCACCACUUAGGGUGAGAGUCCCGUUUGUCACCUGCAGUCCGCUGCGUAAGGUGUGCCUUCUCUGAGUCACGCUCCUCGGAACUGGAACGCAAAUUGGGUGGUAAAUUUCAUCUAAAACUCAAUAUAGGGUUGAGACCGAUAGCAAACAAGUACCAUGAGGGAAAGGUGAAAAGGACUUUGAAAAGAGAGUUAAAAGUGCCUGAAAUCGCUGAAAAGGAAGCGAAUGGAGUCAGCAAUGCUUGGCGAAAUCUUUGGCGCACUGGCGUUAGUGCUCGCUGCUUCAGCGCAGUUGAGUGGCAGCUUCGAGCGUCGUGUGCGCUGUGUCUUUGGCCUUGCGCGUCAAUGCCAGUCCGCAACGGAGAAAUCUUGGGGACAUGUCAACUUCUUCGUGAGUGUGAUGUGCCUCUGGAACCCAUUUGCGAACUGAUNGGUGGUGUCUGGUUGCAGUGCUCUGUCUCACAGGCUCUCCCUAACACUCCAACANCGACCAAAUGAUUCCAUUCGACCCUCUUGAAACACGG